GAUGAACGCUGGCGGCGUGCCUAAUACAUGCAAGUCGAGCGAACAGACGAGGAGCUUGCUCCUCUGACGUUAGCGGCGGACGGGUGAGUAAAACGUGGAUAACCUACCUAUAAGACUGGGAUAAAUUCGGGAAACCGGAGCUAAUACCGGAUAAUAUAUUGAACCGCAUGGUUCAAUAGUGAAAGACGGUUUUGCUGUCACUUAUAGCUGGAUCCGCGCCGCAUUAGCUAGUUGGUAAGGUAACGGCUUACCAAGGCAACGAUGCGUAGCCGACCUGAGAGGGUGAUCAGCCACACUGGAACUGAGACACGGUCCAGACUCCUACGGGAGGCAGCAGUAGGGAAUCUUCCGCAAUGGGCGAAAGCUUGACGGAGCAACGCCGCGUGUGUGAUGAAGGUCUUCGGAUCGUAAAACUCUGUUAUUAGGGAAGAACAAAUGUGUAAGUAACUAUGCACGUCUUGACGGUACCUAAUCAGAAAGCCACGGCUAACUCCGUG
RNAcentral lists this ribosomal RNA (497 nucleotides) under uncultured bacterium. RNAcentral describes it as "partial 16S ribosomal RNA". It matches the Rfam family "Bacterial small subunit ribosomal RNA", at positions 28 to 507 of the family's 1533-position model. The record is from RNAcentral.